UUAUAGCAGUGUGAGAGCGGACUAAAACGGGGACUGAACUCAAUCAGUAGCCAAAUGCAGGUUUCUUUGAGGAAAGCUGUAAAAUAAAUGAUACUUAGGAGCUAACCAGCAGACAAGGGAGGCAGUAGUAGGUUUGAAGACCUAGGAGACAUGAAGAGCAUGGUGCAGUGGGGUGACUGACGUUUUGUAUGGUGGGAGAAACAGAGUGGAAUGAGAUUGCAUUAAUUGCUGGAUGAAAGGUCAGCAGCUUUAAGGCAGUUGUCUCUCAAGAGGACUUGAUCUCUUGCCUGUGACCUGCCCCACAUGUUUCUUCUGCACAUCCUGACUCCCAGGCCUGCACAGGGGACUUCUGCACAGGCCUGACUUCCAGGCCUGAUAUUUUCUGACAAAGUAAUGGGGGCAAUUAUACUUAUAUUCCAGAUAGCGAAAAUGAGAUCUCAGAGAGGGUUCAGCAGCCAGAGUCCUAUCCUGUACUUCUCUUCACGGUGCAGACAUCCACGAAAGAGUGAGACUGUUUUUGGUUGGAUUGAAGAGCAAAUGUGUGGAAGACACCAAGGGUCUCACUCUGUCACCUAGGCUGCAGUGCAGUGGUACAAUCCAGUUCACUGCAGCCUUGACCUCUUGGACUCAAGCAAUCCUCCUGCCUCAGCCUCCUGAGUAGCUGGGACUACAGGUGCGAGCCACCAGCCUGGCUAAUUUUUAAUUUUUUUUUUUUUUUUUUUUGUAGAGACAGGAUCUCACUAUGUUUCCCAAGUUGGUCUUGAACUUCUGGCCUCAAGCAAUUCUCUUGCCUUGGCCUCCCAAAAUUCUGGAAUUAUAGGCAUGAGUCACCAGAAACGGCCCACUUUAUUUACUUCUGUGAUGCCUAUACAUUGUGUUAUCAAUAAAACUUGAGAUUCUGUAACUGAGACUGGUCUCUGUUUUUAAUUACUUUCUUUUUUUUUUGUAAUUUCAAGGCUACCACUGAGGUUCAGAUUCUGCAUUUUGGGGCAUCAGAACUAGUUUUUUUUUUUUUUAA
Long non-coding RNA from Pongo pygmaeus (Bornean orangutan), 1018 nucleotides. RefSeq lists it as uncharacterized. NCBI's taxonomy places the organism in Eukaryota, Metazoa, Chordata, Mammalia, Primates, Hominidae. The record is from RefSeq and is a predicted model, not a curated record. The transcript has 5 exons.